GUUGUGUCCUAGUCAUCUCAUCGAAGGGUAUUGCCCUUCCUGCAUUGUACUGGAAUGAAUGCCAUACAUUUGGCCGGCGAGGUUGCGGCCUGAAUGUUCUUCCAUUCUCUACUGGCCUAAACUGCCUCUCAAAAGGCGGUCCUUUAUAGAAUGAUGUACCUAGCCCUCUACCAAGCUGAGUGUUUGGAAAGAAGGUAGGGCGAUAAGGAUGCUGCCAUGUCCCUGGUUUCUCCGUAUUUCCAUUCACUUCUCUUUUACACCUUGCACACAGGACGUCUUCGUCAUUUUUUGGUUC
Molecule: long non-coding RNA, 295 nt
Filed under: Olea europaea (common olive)
Lineage: Eukaryota; Viridiplantae; Streptophyta; Magnoliopsida; Lamiales; Oleaceae
Description: long non-coding RNA (OEUR_LNC015137)
Source: RNAcentral